GAGUUCCUGUAGUUGAAU
RNAcentral lists this transfer RNA (18 nucleotides) under Hylarana erythraea (green paddy frog). RNAcentral's name for it is "partial tRNA-Glu". Lineage: Eukaryota; Metazoa; Chordata; Amphibia; Anura; Ranidae. The record is from RNAcentral.